CAGCCGCCGCGGGAAUACAGAGGGUGCAAGCGUUAAUCGGAAUUACUGGGCGUAAAGCGUGCGCAGGCGGUUAUAUAAGACAGAUGUGAAAUCCCCGGGCUCAACCUGGGAACUGCAUUUGUGACUGUAUAGCUAGAGUACGGCAGAGGGGGAUGGAAUUCCGCGUGUAGCAGUGAAAUGCGUAGAUAUGCGGAGGAACACCGAUGGCGAAGGCAAUCCCCUGGGCCUGUACUGACGCUCAUGCACGAAAGCGUGGGGAGCAAACAGGAUUAGAUACCCGCGUAGUCCCUGUCUCUUAUAA
Molecule: ribosomal RNA, 301 nt
Filed under: uncultured bacterium
Lineage: Bacteria
Description: partial 16S ribosomal RNA
Rfam family: Bacterial small subunit ribosomal RNA
Source: RNAcentral